GGGUGAUGGCAUUUGUUGUUUGGUUUUUUUAAAAUUUAUUUUUAAUAACCAAAAUAGUGUUUUGAUAUAGAGUAAAAAAAUGAUGAUAUUAUAAUUUUUAAAUCUGUUUUGUUUUGUUUUUGUGUUUUUUUUCUUUUCAGAAUCUUUAGAUUAGAUCUAAGGGUGGUUGACCACAAUUUUCUUGAACCAUAGGGUCCAGGAGAACAGGACUCAUAUUAAACAUUAUUCCAUCAAAUAACUUAAAAUGUUCAUAUCUUUCUUAAUUACAAUUACCUGUAUGAGCAAAAUAAAUAUGGAACUAACUAGGUUGGAUUGGAAUCUCACAAGCA
Molecule: long non-coding RNA, 329 nt
Filed under: Prunus persica (peach)
Lineage: Eukaryota; Viridiplantae; Streptophyta; Magnoliopsida; Rosales; Rosaceae
Description: long non-coding RNA (PPER_LNC005902)
Source: RNAcentral